CUUCCUGCUGCUUCCAUGUGAAUAUGCGGCCUACUUCACAAGGGUUAGACUAGGAGUAACCAAUCCAAAGGGCUUGGAUUGAAUUGGUUCGGCCCAAUUUGCAAGGCACUUGUAGAAGCGCAAGCAUUCCGCCCGCGCGCCAGCGUUAAAGAUACAAAAGCAAACAGAAACAGCGACCGGCAAGCAAAUCUAACAACUCCAACUGCGGUUGCAGCUCUCUUGUCUGUUUUAACCUCCAAGCAAAUUCCGCCGUUUGAAAUAAGAGUAACUCUGCUGAGUCUUAACAAAUAGAGGUAUAGUUUCUUAUUAAUUCAAUUCUCAGUCUUAGCGAAACAGUUUCUUUUCUUCCUUCAGUCAUUUUAACAAACAUCUUGUGCUCCAGGCACUGACCAUAUAUUUAUGCUUCGUUGCUUUGCUUUAAAAGUUCAAUCAAGCAAUAGAAAUGCGUUCAAUUAGAAUUAUAACUUCAAACUUAAGGAAAUUUUCGAUUCUAGCUUCUACCCGUCUCAUUUCAUCACACAAAAGGCCAACCCACAUUGCAAUUUCAACCGUUGAAACCACUGUGACGUGGCCUUUUGAUUCCAAGUUUUCAGUCGCUUUCUCUUCUUUCUCUUCCUCAGAUCUUGAAAUCCCAAUUGCACAUAAAAUUUCCAUUAGCCAAGGGGAAUGUUCCAGUGACAGUGAUCUUAGUGACUCCAAUGAUGAUGAUGACAUUACACAGUUGAAUUUGAGAGAUGCUGGUUUUGUUAAAGACGUAAUGACCAUUGUGAAUAUAUUGAAUCAACUGGGUGACAAUCGUGUGGAAAUGAAGAACAAGAUUGAGCAAUGUGGCGUUAAGGUCUCACAGGAGUUGGUACUGGAGGUACUGUCUAGAGUGAGAAAUGAUUGGGAGGCAGCAUUUACUUUCUUUCUGUGGGCUGGUAAGCAGCCAGGUUAUGUCCAUGCCGUGCGUGAAUAUCAUUCUAUGAUUUCUAUGCUUGGUAAAAUGAGAAAGUUCGACACUGCAUGGUCAUUGAUCGAUGAGAUGAGAGGGGUUAAGACCGGUGUUUCUCUUGUUGCACCACAGACUUUGCUUAUUAUGAUUAGAAGAUAUUGUGCAGCGCAUGAUGUUGGUAGGGCUAUAAACACUUUUCAUGCAUUUAAGCAGUUUAAAUUUGAUGUGGGUAUUGAGGAGUUUCAAAGUCUUUUAUCUGCUCUUUGCCGCUACAAGAAUGUGCAGGAUGCUGAGCACUUGAUAUUUUCUCAGAAAGAUGUCUUCCCAUUUAACACAAAGAGUUUUAAUAUUGUGCUUAAUGGGUGGUGUAAUGUGAUUGGUAGUCCUCGUCAAUCAGACAGAAUAUGGAGGGAAAUGUGCAGGAGGGGUAUUCGAUAUGAUGCUGUGUCUUAUGCGAGUAUCAUAACUUGCUAUUCAAAGGCAGGUAAUCUUUAUAAGGUGCUCAAGCUGUACAACCAGAUGAAUGAGAUGAGGAUUGAACCAGAUAGGAAAGUUUACAAUGCUGUAAUCCAUGCUCUUGCAAAAGCUGGACACGUGAAGGAAGCUAUCAAUCUCAUGAAAACAAUGGAAGAUAAAGGUAUUGCACCUAAUACUGUCACUUACAAUUCACUGAUCAAACCUUUAUGCAAGGCAAGAAAAGUAGAUGAGGCCAGAGGAGUCUUUGAUGAGAUGUUACAGCGUGGCCACACUCCAACUAUACAAACUUAUCAUGCCUUCUUUCGUGUUCUAAGGACAGGGGAAGAAGUUUUUGCACUCUUGGAGAAGAUGAGAAAGAUGGGUUGCCAGCCAAUUACUGAUACCUAUGUCAUGUUGAUUAGAAAAUUUUGUAGAUGGCGGCAGUUUGAUGAUGUCUUUAAGUUGUGGAAUGAAAUGAGUGAGAAUGGGAUAGGUCCUGAUCGUAGCUCAUAUAUUGUGCUGAUACAUGGGCUCUUCUUAAAUGGAAAGUUGGAGGCAGCCUACAAAUAUUACACAGAUAUGAAACAAAAACAAUUAUUGCCAGAACCAAAGAUAGAUGAGAUGCUCCGUACUUGGUUAUCGAAUAAACAAAUAGCUGAAUGUCAGAUGACAGAAUCAAAAGGUGAUCAAUCGAAUUUUAGUCAAUUAGGUGAGCAAAACGGAGCCAUCCCUAAGAGAAUUAAUUAUGAGAAAGAUUUUAUCUGACAAGCUGAAAAUAGAACAGUUGUGAGAUUGCGAGGAUUUUCCUUUUGGGAGCAACAGGUUCUCAUGUGAUAUUAAAUCUCAACAGCAGGUGGUUUGUGUAUUUAACAACCUACAGCAUCAAAUGCUUCCUGAACACAUACAGGUGCACUAAAGUUUCUGUUCUAAUUUAUGAAUAAAAGAUGCCCUUAGGUUAUUCAAUUAUUAAAGAACUUAUGCCUUUUGAAUCGUAUUAUUUAUAUAACUUUCUUUUUGUAAUAUGUUUUCAUAAAUCAUAGUAUACAAGAUAUUUGGU
This 2447-nucleotide unclassified non-coding RNA is filed under the name Hevea brasiliensis (rubber tree). The record is from RNAcentral. Lineage: Eukaryota; Viridiplantae; Streptophyta; Magnoliopsida; Malpighiales; Euphorbiaceae.